Molecule: long non-coding RNA, 294 nt
Organism: Suricata suricatta (meerkat)
Lineage: Eukaryota; Metazoa; Chordata; Mammalia; Carnivora; Herpestidae
Exons: 2
Source: RefSeq, a predicted model, not a curated record
GGCAAGUGGUGUUCGAUUAAUAUUUGAAGAAUAAGAAGGUGGUCCCUGGUUGAAGAGAUAUGCUGUGAUUGAGAGGUCUGUGGGAAAUCCGAGUGGAGACAUCCAAAUGAAGACUUCAGGGCCCAGAAGUCCGGAAUUCAAGAAAAGGAUGCAGCGUCACAUCUCAGUAGGUCCUAACAUCAGUGUGUUAGGCAAAAACUACAAAAAGUAAAAUUAUCUUUGGAAAUCCUUUAGGAAGCCCCUCACCAAUAAAGAUAUACUGUCUCUUAAUAAAGCAGUCAUCUCACACUGAAA